GACGAACGCUGGCGGCGUGCUUAACACAUGCAAGUCGAACGGAAAGGCCCUGCUUUUGUGGGGUGCUCGAGUGGCGAACGGGUGAGUAACACGUGAGUAACCUGCCCUUGACUUUGGGAUAACUUCAGGAAACUGGGGCUAAUACCGGAUAGGAGCUCCUGCUGCAUGGUGGGGGUUGGAAAGUUUCGGCGGUUGGGGAUGGACUCGCGGCUUAUCAGCUUGUUGGUGGGGUAGUGGCUUACCAAGGCUUUGACGGGUAGCCGGCCUGAGAGGGUGACCGGCAACAUUGGGACUGAGAUACGGCCCAGACGCCAACGGGAGGCAGCAGUGGGGAGUAUUGCACAAUGGGGGGAAGCCAGAUGCAGCAACGCCGCGUGCGGGAUGACGGCCUUCGGGUUGUAAACCGCUUUCGCCGGUGACGAAGCGUGAGUGACGGUAAUGGAUAAAGAAGCACCGGCUAACUACGUG
Molecule: ribosomal RNA, 468 nt
Filed under: uncultured bacterium
Lineage: Bacteria
Description: partial 16S ribosomal RNA
Rfam family: Bacterial small subunit ribosomal RNA
Source: RNAcentral